UAUAAUUAAAUAAAGAUAAUAUUAAUAUUUACGAAAUAAUAUGAGCUAAAAUUUAUUACCUUUUAGGGAUUUAAUUAAUUGUAGCAAUACUUAGUGUAACUAUCUUUUAGGGGUGAAAUGCCUAUCAAAUAUUAUGAUAACUUAUUUUGAAAGAAAUAUAUUUAGUAUUUAGACAAUUCAGAAAUGAUAAGGUUACUGAAUAUCAUUAUUAGUAUUUUGUAUUUUAUAAAUUGUAUAAUAACAAUUAUAUAUAAAUUUUAAAAAUGAAAUUUAAUUUAAAUAUGAAUAUUACUUCUAUAUGUAGUUUAAUAUAUAUUACAUUAAUUAUGUUAUAAUCAGUAUUAAUAUAAUUAUUUUAUAGGAACUCGGCAAAAAUAUUUUUCAACUGUUUAUCAAAAACAUUGCUUAAAGCUAUUAUUUUAGGUUAAUCCUGCUCAAUGGUAAUCUAAAUAGCCGCAGUACCUUGACUGUGCAAAGGUAGCAUAAUCAAUUGGCUUAUAAUUGAAGUCUAGUAUGAAUGGGUUAUUGGGGAAUUUCUGUCUUUAUUAUAAUGUAAAAAGUUACUAAAUAAGUGAAAAUUCUUAUACAAAUAAAAUAGACGAGAAGACCCUAGAAAUUUUUAAAUAAUUAUUUAUAGAUCUUUUUUGUUGGGGCGACAUUGCAACAGAAAACUUGCAUAAUAGUAUAAGAAUUAUUUGUACUGUAUAAAUAAAUUACUCUAGGGAUAACAGCAUAAUUUACUAAAGUUUGUGACCUCGAUGUUGGACUAGGAAAUAAAUUAUUCAGAAGAUAGUUGUUUUUGCUCUGUUCGAGCAUAUUUUCCUACAUGAUCUGAGUUCAGACCGG
This 846-nucleotide ribosomal RNA is filed under the name Coronarchaica corona. Its description in RNAcentral is "partial 16S ribosomal RNA". The record is from RNAcentral. Lineage: Eukaryota; Metazoa; Mollusca; Gastropoda; Stylommatophora; Hygromiidae.